Molecule: long non-coding RNA, 209 nt
Filed under: Lathyrus oleraceus (garden pea)
Lineage: Eukaryota; Viridiplantae; Streptophyta; Magnoliopsida; Fabales; Fabaceae
Description: Pisum sativum (pea) long non-coding RNA (PSAT_LNC027873)
Source: RNAcentral
AUGCAUUUUAUUUUAUCUUUUUGCAUUUAAUAUUUGUUUGACCUUUGUUGACUUUUGUUGGUCUUGGAUCUUAGUUGAUUUGAUCAUAGGUCUCAUCAAACUCAAUGGAUCUUGGAUGUUGGUGGAGUGAAAACCAUAAUCCAUCAAAAUGGAUUAUUGAUUUUGAUGAUGACUUGAUCAAGCCUUUGAUCCAAUUUGGGUGUGAUUUC